This 206-nucleotide ribosomal RNA is filed under the name uncultured bacterium. RNAcentral's name for it is "partial 16S ribosomal RNA". It matches the Rfam family "Bacterial small subunit ribosomal RNA", at positions 568 to 774 of the family's 1533-position model. The record is from RNAcentral.
CGUGUAGGCGGCCAGGUAGGUCUGCUGUGAAAACUCGAGGCUCAACCUCGAGAUGUCGGCAGAAACCAUCUGGCUAGAGUCCGGAAGAGGAGAGUGGAAUUCCUGGUGUAGCGGUGAAAUGCGCAGAUAUCAGGAAGAACACCCGUGGCGAAGGCGGCUCUCUGGGACGGUACUGACGCUGAGACGCGAAAGCGUGGGAGCGAACA